This 404-nucleotide small RNA is filed under the name Histoplasma ohiense. Its description in RNAcentral is "hypothetical lncRNA". The record is from RNAcentral. Lineage: Eukaryota; Fungi; Ascomycota; Eurotiomycetes; Onygenales; Ajellomycetaceae.
GCACCUUUAUCAUCAAAUACGCACCUUUAUCAUCAAAUACGCACCUUUAUCAUCAAAUACGCCAAUAUGCCCCCCCAGCUCAGUGAAUUUACCAUCAAUGAGAUUGUACACCUUCUAAACAAUGGUUAUAUGCCUGCUCAGAUUGCACAGACCAUUGAGUGCCAUCUGACCACUGUAUAUCAAAUUCAACAAAAUAUUCACUGCUUUGGAACUGCUAGAAGUCCUCAUUCAACAUGGGGUGUAAAGCCAAAGAUCACAUCAGAUAUCUUGUCAGAUUUGAAGGACUUUUUUGAGAUAUAUUCAACUGCAUAUCACAAUGAGGCUGUCUGCUUUGUGAAGGAUGAAUUUGAUGUUGAUAUCCAUUCUCAAUUGAUAUCUAGAUUGUUGAAGAAACUGAAUUUGAC